GCUGCUGUGGGCUAGUGGAUAAGGAGAUUGAUUAGUGAUCAGUAGGUCACUGGUUCAAUCCCCAGCUCCA
Non-coding RNA from Danionella cerebrum, 70 nucleotides. The record is from the annotation of a GenBank genome assembly. Lineage: Eukaryota; Metazoa; Chordata; Actinopteri; Cypriniformes; Danionidae.